RNAcentral lists this unclassified non-coding RNA (293 nucleotides) under uncultured Helotiales. RNAcentral describes it as "sequence contains ITS1". The stretch from base 1 to 105 matches the Rfam family "5.8S ribosomal RNA", at positions 50 to 154 of the family's 154-position model. Lineage: Eukaryota; Fungi; Ascomycota; Leotiomycetes; Helotiales. The record is from RNAcentral.
GAAAUGCGAUACUUGGUGUGAAUUGCAGAAUCCCGUGAACCAUCGAAUCUUUGAACGCACAUUGCGCCCCUUGGUAUUCCGAGGGGCAUGCCCGUUCGAGCGUCAUUAUACCCCUCAAGCCUGGCUUGGUGUUGGGGCCUGCUGUUACCGGCAGCCCUUAAAAUCAGUGGCGGUGCCAUCUGGCUCUAAGCGUAGUAAUACUCCUCGCUACAGGGUCCCGGUGGAUGCUUGCCAUCAACCCCUAAUUUUCUAUGGUUGACCUCGGAUCGGGUAGGGAUACCCGCUGAACUUAA